This is a long non-coding RNA of Drosophila mojavensis, 730 nucleotides long. RefSeq lists it as uncharacterized. The record is from RefSeq and is a predicted model, not a curated record. The transcript is spliced from 2 exons. Lineage: Eukaryota; Metazoa; Arthropoda; Insecta; Diptera; Drosophilidae.
UAACUCUUUUCAGCUAAUAUAAUAUAGCAACAUCUCAUAUUGAUUACUGAUAUAAAAACAAAGUAAGCACGCACAACAUAUGUUUCUCACUGUCUGUUCACAGACGAAGUCGAAACCGAAAUUUAUUUCCAUCAAUUUCAUCUGUUGUUACAGCUGCUUCUUGAUGGAUGUUAAAUGGAUUUUCGCACACGAUGACGUCAAUUAAAUUAGAUUCUGCAAUAAAUACACUAAUGGAAAAUUGCUGCCCACACCGAGAGCAGAGCUGUGGCUGUGACUGUGGCUGUGGGUGUGGGCGUGGCUGUGGGUGGGCAUCACGGAACGGAAGCACUGCCCGGCGGCUUAUUUGGCGGCAACACCUGAAACCAGAGAGCCACACCCAAGACUCCGCCCCCCUCCCUUGACCAAUGUUUGGCACCCUGCGGCGCCUACUUACAUGCUGUUAAUUUAUGCUAAACGCAUCGCGUCUUUGCAUUUAAUUGUGAAAUUAAAUUGGUUGCGAUUGAUGUGGAAACGAUGCGAGACGGAGCAGGGGAGGGGAAAAGGUAGAGGCAUUGUGGUUAAAUCCUUAAAUAACCCUUUUGGGAUAUAGCUUAAGAGAUUUGACUAAGAUUGGUAUUAGAAACGGAAUCAAUUGACAUCAAUCUAAUUUUGAGAAGCUUGGCAAUGGCUACAUCUGGAAAAAGUAAAAUAAAUUUUAUAAAUAUACAUAUAUACUUUAGUCAUUCAGUAA